UGUUUGAGUCAGGUCGGGACUAAUGCCAUCCUGAACCUGAAUAAAGGUAAGCAAAGAAUUUGAUUUUUUUGAGCUCCCUUGCCGGCUGCAGCAUUGUUGUUUUUUGCCCGUAAUUCUGCGUGCGAAAAUCUGGACGAAGACGACGGAGUCUUAUUUUUCUGCUACUGUGAUUUCUCACACAUGGCAUUUUGGAGGAAACAGGAAGCAAUGUUUUUUCACUUUCUCUCCACUGUGAUUAAGCAGCCCAGCACUUCUCUGGGAUUAUUCUUGUGAUGACAGGUUUUCUUGUCUUAGUUGGGAGUUAUAACCUGGAAUUUAUAAACGGAAGCCGGUAUUUGUUCAUUUUUGGAGGACAACAUUUAUCCACAUCUUCCGCCUAUCAACACCCAGGAUAGAUAGCAGGCCCUUGGCCUGAAAGCCUGAGCUCUCUGCUAACAAGGUUGUUUCUCACUCCAUGCUGACAGGAAAUCAUCCUGCACACUACUCACAUUGUUGGUUUUGUUUGUUUUGUACUGAGUAGAAGCUAUUUCUCCACAUUCCUGGCUCUGGCUUUGAGUGCUACUGAGAGGAAAAAGGCAAGAAAGGAAGAGAACAAAAAACAUCAUCUCAAAGAGCUGAUCCAAGUUACUGUGAGAAUACAAGUAGAAACGUGAUAUCACAGUUUCCAAUUACUUUAUUCCACCAGAAAAGCCACAAGAAUAACCAAUGUUAGUGUUAUUAGCACAUAAAAAGUGGAAAGAGCAAAGGUAACAACAAUUAGCCCUAUGUGGUUUCAACUGGCUGUUGAAUACAGCGUUAACUGACACAGGGAUGGUGAUUCCUAGGUCUUAGCUACCACAACUGUAUAUUAACCACUGAAAGAUAAGGGAACAAAAGACCCUAUGCACAGAUAAUGGAACCAGCAAGAACUGGGUUGACUACUGAAGUCUGUCAGAGACAGGAAAGGCCAGAAGAUAAGAAGCGAGGAAGACUUCUGGCCUUCAACAAAAGACCACCAGAGUAUGCCAGAUGGCUGACCACCCAAGGAUUCCACUACGUAUACAAGUAGAGACAGAACCUAUGUUAAUGAUUCUUUGGAGACCUGAUGAACAUACAAGUGACUUAAGGGAAAUGAAAUGAAUAUGUAUUUGUCCAACUAAUAUAAGCACACUACCAAUAAUCAUUGGUGCACAAGUUAGGUGGAACCUUGUGUCCAGUGUGUGCACAGGGCCAAAUAAACACACCUGCUUUAUAACUAUUCCGAGGUUAUAGAGUCUAUUUUCCACAAGUCAUAACAAUACAUAAGUGUUUUAACUUGUGUGUGAUGUUUCCAGCCUCUUCCCUAAGAGCAUAGAUUACUACCCAUUAAAAAGGUGUUUUUUUUUUUUUUUUUUUU
Molecule: long non-coding RNA, 1375 nt
Organism: Anas platyrhynchos (mallard)
Lineage: Eukaryota; Metazoa; Chordata; Aves; Anseriformes; Anatidae
Source: RefSeq, a predicted model, not a curated record